Molecule: long non-coding RNA, 296 nt
Filed under: Capsicum annuum
Lineage: Eukaryota; Viridiplantae; Streptophyta; Magnoliopsida; Solanales; Solanaceae
Description: long non-coding RNA (CANN_LNC021863)
Source: RNAcentral
ACUCUGCUUCAUAUAGCAUGGAUAGAUGGAAUGCCACUCUAUAGAAUUUAUCUUUAAGCUUGGGCGCCACCUUCCUAUCACACAACAUUCUCGAGGAGAGCCUCCACAUCAUCCAUCCUUCCCCAAUACGGUGGGAGACAUCCUCAUCAAUCUCUCCAUUCCCCUGAAUCAUGGACCCGAGAUACUUAAGACUAUCCCUCUUAGAAACAACCUAGGAAUUCAACCUUACUACUACCUCGUUCUCCUGCCUAAAGUCAUUUAAAUUGCACUCCAUAUACUCUAUCUUGGUCCUACUC